RNAcentral lists this long non-coding RNA (638 nucleotides) under Heterocephalus glaber (naked mole-rat). Its description in RNAcentral is "lncRNA (ENSHGLG00100041571.1)". Lineage: Eukaryota; Metazoa; Chordata; Mammalia; Rodentia; Bathyergidae. The record is from RNAcentral.
GUUUCCAUGGUGCAAACAAACCCCCGGCUCUACCCUGGCCACACCCACUGGCCCGCAGGAACAGAGGUGGCAGGAAGAGAACCUUCAGCAGCCUCAAGUGUGCCCUGAUCAGUCACCUAUGCUGCUUGUUUAAAAUACCCUGUACCCGUGCAGGCUGGGCACCCCAGUCCAGAUUUAGGCUGAAGAAACAGGGCCUCUUAAGGAGGGGGGUUACCUGCAGGAGAAGUGAUGUGAACCACAAGAAACCCCUCGUGGCUAUGGAAACCAGUUGGAUGUGAUGUGGCAUCAGCUCAAUUGGGAAAUGAAGUCACCUGGCCAACUCUGACUCCAAGAUUGCCAGGAGAAAGCAAAACAUCGGUGUUCAUCCCCAGGAUGAAGCAGGCUGCCUUGUCUGAGCCUGGGGUCUUCGCCAGAGGUGCACCUCAUCAAAGCCCCUGAGAUGCCCCUCCAGGGCCUGGUCCCUGCAGGAGAAACCAAGCUCUAAGGCAGAGGCAAAGGAGCCACACAGCUGCACCCUGCAAGCCUUCUGGAGUCCUUGUCAGCUGUGUCCCUCAUAAGUCAUUCAAGGAGACCUUGUGGGUUCCAAGCUUGGGUCAUUUAAGUGGUUGUUGUCGCAUAAACAUGGCUUUCCAAGGACA